Ictalurus punctatus (channel catfish) is the source of this 1718-nucleotide long non-coding RNA. The record is from Ensembl. Lineage: Eukaryota; Metazoa; Chordata; Actinopteri; Siluriformes; Ictaluridae.
AGAGAGAGAGAGAGAGAGACAGAGAGAGAGAGAGAGAGAGAGAGACAGAGAGAGAGACACCUUGGGUAUCAAAUUUGUUUAACCUGGGUUAAAUUUUAUUUCAACUUAUCUUAAGUGCGUCAAAGUCAAAUACUGUCCAAAUAUACCAGUUCAUCAUAUUAGUGAUUCUAGUUCCUGUUAGGCUAGAUACAUUUAACCUAUAAGAUACCUAUAAGAUAAAUUUCCUGUAACCGAUUGUAAUAAUUGUCAAACAGCGUCUGUUCAUUAAUCGUUUAAUUAUAUGAAAAUACUAAUGAUAAUUAAAUCGUGUUGAGCCAGGAUAGAGAUUUAUUUGCCAGGUAACUAUCAGAAAACUGCGUAAAGAAGUUCAUUAGUAUAAAUGAGCUUUUGUUUUGUGAGCUUACCAAAACUUUGUAGAGACUGCCUUUACUCACUUUCCUUCUCUAUUUUUUUAAGUGUAUAAGAAAGAAAGAAAGAAAGAAAGAAAGAAAGAAACGAAAGAACGAAAAAAUGUGUAAGCUCAAAAGACAUAAGAUACUUGCUAUUUAUGUUUUUAGCAUUUGAUGAUAAGUUCCAAUUUCAACAAAGUUAAGUGCAAAUUUGGUUCAGUAAUUUGAGUCUUGGGGCCCAGUUUCAGAAUGAGAAUGGUCAAAGCUUGCUCUAAUAGUUAACAAUCUUUGGCAGCGAUGCUUUUUGGAGGCAAAAAAUCUACACAAGGCCGAACAGACGGUCUAGGUUACAAACAAUUUCAAUUCGAUUCAAUUAUAUUUUGUUCAUAAAGCGCUUUUACCAAUUGGGCAUUUUCACAAUAAAGUCGCUUCACAGAAAUCCCGAUAUAGUUUUACAUCUAGAGCCCUAACAAAUAAAACAGAGACAUAUAGACCACCCAUAGAACUGUCAACCUAAAAAUAAAAUCAGAUUCCAUUUGUACACAACAUAGGCUACUAAAAACAACUUAGCAUUUUUUUUUACUAGGUAGGUUACAGGUUAUACAUUAAAUGUUGUUUUGUAUGUCAUUAUGGAAAGCUGGUCAAAUUAAAUGCGGGCGACGUUUGUGCAUACUUUUCCUAACAGGUAAUGAGUUUUGGGAACAGCUCUACCUGUUGAGGUUCACUGGCGUUACUCCGCUUGUAGCUGUCAGGCCGAUGCGACUCCGCGCCUGUACCGGAGUUCUCCAGACGCUCUCUAUCGAUUCCUCUAGUCCAGCUCUACAGCAGACAUAUAUCCCAUCCGACAGGAGUUACUCACCCGUACAUAACGAGCUCAGUCCACGCAGCAUAUUCAUUCAUUGUGGUUUGAGCUAUAGAUAGCAAUAGAUAAGAAUGCACAAGAGGUGGAGGGUGAAUUUAAAUUCGACAUGUACUGUUUACAUAAUAAACUCAUCUGUAUGUGAUGUAUGUUUAUCUGACGUUUCAUACCUAGAAGUUGUGAAAAAUAAACAUUACACUCGAUGACAAUGCCUGUGUUACCUUACAGUGUGCCUUGAUUUAAUUAAAUAGAGGGGACAUAUAGGCGCAGGGGCUAAUUCAGUCUUAUGGAAAUAUAGGGUAAGUAAUCAGGUUCAAUAUUUUAAGUGAAGUGGUCUGUUCUGAGCAUUAAUUUAGCGUAAAUCUUGAGAAAGGGUUUUAGGACAGACCCCAAAACGACCUAGUCAGGGGAAAAGAUGGGUAAGUAGCAGAUUUAUGCAAAUACCAGGAUAAUAAAUCCUGAGCAGUCGA